This 239-nucleotide unclassified non-coding RNA is filed under the name Hevea brasiliensis (rubber tree). Lineage: Eukaryota; Viridiplantae; Streptophyta; Magnoliopsida; Malpighiales; Euphorbiaceae. The record is from RNAcentral.
UCGGCCGGUUUGAUUCGAAAUACAGAAUUUUGAAUUUUUACUUUGCCUCGGGACCGAAAACGAUGUCCAAAAAUUCUGAAAAAAUUCCUGAAAACUCAGAAAAAUUCGUAGACUCUAAAUAUAUUUUUAGUUUUACCACGUGGUCUUUAAAUUAUUUUUUAAAAAUCAUCAAUGUUUUAUAUUUUCGGGAAGUCAAACCCAAUUUCUAAAAUCCAAAAAAUUUCAAAUAAUUUCCUAAA